Long non-coding RNA from Oncorhynchus mykiss (rainbow trout), 3355 nucleotides. Lineage: Eukaryota; Metazoa; Chordata; Actinopteri; Salmoniformes; Salmonidae. The record is from Ensembl.
AUGAUGGCUUUAUUUUGCCACAGUGUGGCUCUCCUAUGCAUGGCUGCUUCUGCCAUUGUGGCACAAGAAGAUGACUUCUCUGGAUCAUAUCUGUCUAGGGAAUACCUCCUUGGUGCCUUCAUCCACAUCUUGGCAACAGUGGAGCAGAAGGACCAUCAGCCCUUGCUGCUGAGUGUGGCGACCGCAACACCAGAGCUGCAUUCGGUGGGCUCCGUGUACCUCUUCGCCAAGGAGUUUUUACAAUUUGGUUUUACAGCAGGAUGUGACUAGUGCUUUUGUGCGAUGUGGAUUCAUGUGGCGAACCAUUCCUGAUUGAUGGUAAACCAUUUGACAUGUCUGGUGGAUAGCAAGACUUCAAAUUCAAUUUGAACCAAGACAAAACAUUUCUGAAAUCUGUCUCUCUGCAAGCCUUCAAGUUCACCGUUGAAGUGGUAAACUUAUGUGACUUACAUUUUGACACUGAUGAAUAUGAGCACUGAUCCCUAAUCUCUUAUCAGGUCUAUAUACACUGCAAACUUUUGGCCUGGAACCCCAGCGGCCUUGAUACCAGCAGGAAGGCCUGCCAUUAUGUGCAAGGGCAUGGGUAAAAAAUAUUGUAUACGCCUAUUCAAUUGAACUACUUUUACUGAAAGGAGGGACCUCAACUUGCCCAAAGUAUCUAAUUUGGAGAGAAACGGUGCCAUUCAAAUCUUGACUUAAUUUUUAAAAAUCAGUUUGGACCUCCUUGAUGACCCCUCCCACAGUAACCUCUGUAGCUGCUGUGACUUCAGCUGCAAGUCCCAGAAGGGGAGUAAACAUCAGGUUUUACAUGACUUGAGUGGGGUGCAGAAAGAUUAACUUACUUAUCGUCCCAGGGCACUAGAAUGGGAUGUCGGGGGGGGGGGGGGGGGGGGGGGGGGAAGGCAUGUCCAGCCACCCUUUUCAAUGCUUUAAACUCUUUUUUUUUUUUUAAAUGUUUAGGUCAACUCAAAAUACUGGCCUGUGACGUGAACCUGGUUUUGUUACACCCCAAAUGAUCAUGUCAAAGUUCAUUUUUGUAUAUUCUGUUUCAUUGACAUGUUAGCUGAACUGUACUUGUGUGUGUUUCAGGUGUGACCCUGAGUACAGCUGGGUUUCCUGGGAGAUGGGCAGCCAUCUAUCGUGCAUGUCCUGACUCUGGAAUGGUUGACGUGAUUUGAAAUAAUGUGUCGCUUUUUCUUGGUUUUAUUCUCACUUGUUAUCUAACAAGAACCCAAGGUCAAGCACAUUAGACUUGACUGUGCCAUGAGUUUCAACUCUAUUUUACAAGCAGGUCAUUGUGCCGAUGUGAUGCAAGUAAAUGGUUUGAGGCCUUUUAUUAAACCAAGCGCGCUUAGGCAAUUGUAUAGUUCAACUAUGCUUAAAAGGAGAUCAGAAAUCCAUGGACUGUGAUAGACUUGUCUUCAUGAUCUCAAACCAGAUGACUUGUUUCAAGGCUCACGUAAUUCUCUCUCCAGUUGUAGCACCACUGCAUUGUCUGUAGUCGCCAGCGUUUUGAUAUUCAUAGAUACUGUUUCUACGACAGCCUAGAUAUGUGCUUCAUAACCGCUGCUAUUGACUCUGCAGUACCUUCACUGUCUGAAAAUGCCUGUAUUUGUGAAAUAAUUGAGUGCUGUAGUCUUGGUUAUUACAAUGGUAAAAAUAUGCGGAUGAGUCUGUAAGCGCUGCAGUAUUUAAGCUGUUUCUGUAGGUCAAGGUGAUGUCCUGAUUGGCGGGGCCUAUAUUGACCUAGCAGAAAAGGCAACCUUUUAUGAACUGAGGUAUUUGUUACAGAUAACUAACCAGUCACGGGAAGCCGGCGCCAAGUCACUCCAUUACACUAUUUUGAAAAACAAGUCUCACUUUCAGUCAGAUUAAUGUUUAUUUUAAUAGUAGCUGAGCUUUCAGUCAGUUGCUCUGCAGAGCAUAUCUCUACAGUGGGACAGAAAUAAUAUGAUAAUAUAAUAAUAUGACAUGUGGUAAUCUGAAGUACCCAAAAAAUCCACUCGCAGAAUCAGAAAUACAAAUACUAGAUGAAUAUUUCCACUGCAAAUACUAGAUGAAUAUUUCCACUGCAAAUACUAGAUGAAUAUUUCCACUGCAAAUACUAGAUGAAUAUUUCCACUGCAAAUACUAGAUGAAUAUUUCCACUGCAAAUACUAGAUGAAUAUUUCCACUGCAAAUACUAGAUGAAUAUUUCCACUGCAAAUACUAGAUGAAUAUUUCCACUGCAAAUACUAGAUGAAUAUUUCCACUGCAAAUAAUAGAUGAAUAUUUCCACUGCAAAUACUAGAUGAAAUACUAGAAAAAAAUGAUUUGUAUAAGGAACCCAUGCUUUCAAAAAGAGCAAUAGCGCAACAAUGGAAGAAACAAAAUAUGCCUUUUCCCACUAUUGUUCUGAUGGUUUACUACCUGAAAGUUUAGCUACUAUUAAAAUUAAUUUAGGAAGUGUUCUGAGGCGUUAUGCAUUUUGCCUCCUGCACCUUCACUAAUCUGUUUUGGGUGUGCUGGAGAUUCUGCCUAUUAUCCACAAAAUAUUUCACCUUCAUUUGCUCUCCAGUUCUUCCGCUAGGUGUUCACUUGCCUGUAGUCUGGCCUCAAUGGCUUUCAGUUCAACAUCUUGUGCUUAAACACGCAAGCAAAACCAAUCAAUAUCACACAAAGGCUAUUUAGUUGUAAUGCAGUGUGUAGGCACGUAGCUCAGCAGCUGUGAGAUCCCCUACCUUCAUUCUGUCUGAUCAGGUCUGCCACCUGGUUUUCAGGCUGACUUCCACUUCAGCAAGUUCCAUCUUGGUGUAUUUCAGUUCAACGAUUUGCUCUACCAACAUCUCUCAUCUGUCUCAGCUCAUUCACUCAGAUAUCAUUAACUUUGUCUGCCACUGACAGACAGCAGCACAGUACCAACAGAACUACGGUGGUCUCCAUACUAUAGUAGGCCUAUACCUAACCUCAGUGGUGUAAAGUACUUCAGUAAAAAUACUUUAAAGUACUACUUAAGUAGUUUUCCAGGGUGUCUGUACUUUACUAUUUAUAUUUUUGACUUCUUUUACUUCACUACAUUACUAAGGAAAAUACCCGUUACAUUUUGAAAGCUUAACAGGACAGGAACAUUUUCCAAUUCACAUACUUUUUUGAAGAAAACAUCCCUGGUCAUUCCUACUGCCUCUGAUCUGGUGGACUCACUAAACACAAAUGCUUAAUUUGUAAAUCAUGUCUGAGUGUUGGUGUGUGCCCUUGACUAUCAGUAAAAUAAACUUGUGCCAUUUGGAUUGCAUAAUAUAGUAAUUUGAAAUGAUAUAUACUUUUACUUUUGAUACUUAAGUAUAUUGUUGCAAUUAAAUGUACUUUGAUACUCAAG